GGCCUGAUAGUGUAACGACAACACACUCUCUUGCUAUGCCGGCCUUCCAUACAUUUCUGAGGGAGCCUCUUGUUCAAAUCAAGGUCAGGCCA
Molecule: non-coding RNA, 92 nt
Organism: Mycena polygramma
Lineage: Eukaryota; Fungi; Basidiomycota; Agaricomycetes; Agaricales; Mycenaceae
Source: the annotation of a GenBank genome assembly